AACAUUUUUAGAUCGUCAGCAUAUAAUAACAAUUUAACAUGAGGAAUAGCAAACACGACAUCGUUAAUAAAUAUAAUAAAUAGUAAAGGUCCUAAUCACCACAUUGAUAUGUGUCACCACAUAUCCAAGCUUGGGUACACGGGCUUGACCCAACCCCUUGGGCGGAUGGUGGCACAUGGCGAACCAGGAGGGG
RNAcentral lists this ribozyme (193 nucleotides) under Anopheles gambiae (African malaria mosquito). RNAcentral's name for it is "drz-agam-2-2 ribozyme". It matches the Rfam family "drz-agam-2-2 ribozyme". The record is from Rfam by way of RNAcentral. Lineage: Eukaryota; Metazoa; Arthropoda; Insecta; Diptera; Culicidae.